Long non-coding RNA from Clupea harengus (Atlantic herring), 475 nucleotides. NCBI's taxonomy places the organism in Eukaryota, Metazoa, Chordata, Actinopteri, Clupeiformes, Clupeidae. The record is from Ensembl.
AGAAUACUUAGGCUGACUGCUGCGUUUAUAAUUGAGGAAAAAGUGGGCCGGUCUUGGGCCUGAAAUUCCCGGGCUGAAAAGUGGCCCCACUCCGGCCCUGGUUGUUACAAUUAUGAAGAAUGAAGAAUGAGCAACACAAAAGCCACUGCAAUUCAGACAUAGAGGCCCAGGUUGGCAACACAAGACCGUGCGAACAAAACUCAGAUGCUCUUCCAGACAUGACCUGCCUUCUUCUCCCCAGCUGCACGAGGGAGUCACCUCAUCUCACACUCUGGCUCCUUCACAUUCACCUGACUGAGAUCUGAGCAAUGAGUCACCCUGGUUCGUGUCUCUCUCUCUGUCUCAUAUCACUUUCCCUAACACCAGGCAAAUGUUCUCAGUCCUUUAAUGCAUGUUAUUAAGUCUCGUCACCCCAUUCUCCAUCGGCUAGAGCUCUUCUUACAAGGGUCAGCCAGGUGCUUGCCUCAUGUCUGGU